This 487-nucleotide ribosomal RNA is filed under the name Streptococcus parasanguinis. RNAcentral describes it as "bacterial SSU rRNA". It matches the Rfam family "Bacterial small subunit ribosomal RNA", at positions 28 to 497 of the family's 1533-position model. The record is from RNAcentral. Lineage: Bacteria; Bacillati; Bacillota; Bacilli; Lactobacillales; Streptococcaceae.
GAUGAACGCUGGCGGCGUGCCUAAUACAUGCAAGUAGAACGCUGAAGCUUGGUGCUUGCACCGAGCGGAUGAGUUGCGAACGGGUGAGUAACGCGUAGGUAACCUGCCUCUUAGCGGGGGAUAACUAUUGGAAACGAUAGCUAAUACCGCAUAAAAGUCGACAUCGCAUGAUGUUGACUUGAAAGGUGCAAUUGCAUCACUAAGAGAUGGACCUGCGUUGUAUUAGCUAGUUGGUGAGGUAACGGCUCACCAAGGCGACGAUACAUAGCCGACCUGAGAGGGUGAUCGGCCACACUGGGACUGAGACACGGCCCAGACUCCUACGGGAGGCAGCAGUAGGGAAUCUUCGGCAAUGGGGGCAACCCUGACCGAGCAACGCCGCGUGAGUGAAGAAGGUUUUCGGAUCGUAAAGCUCUGUUGUAAGAGAAGAACGAGUGUGAGAGUGGAAAGUUCACACUGUGACGGUAACUUACCAGAAAGGGACGGC